AUUUGACAACGCUGAACAAGUUGACCACAAGACACAGACGGAAGGCAUGGAAACCAACAUCAGAGGUGGGAUAUUUGAGUAUUUUUGGAGGCAUCUGAGGAGAGCCUGGAGACUCCUGUGCUGCCGAGGCCCUGAUGACUCUGAAAUAAAAUUGUCAGUGGAAGAAACAUCACCAUUCAAUGCGCAAAUCUCUGUCCGUCCAUGGUGAAGAUGCUCAAGC
Long non-coding RNA from Danio aesculapii, 220 nucleotides. RefSeq lists it as uncharacterized. The transcript is spliced from 3 exons. Lineage: Eukaryota; Metazoa; Chordata; Actinopteri; Cypriniformes; Danionidae. The record is from RefSeq and is a predicted model, not a curated record.